GUCAGCAUGGUGUAGUGGUUUGAACGUCGGACUACGACUCUGGAGACCAGGGUUCAAAUUCCUGCUUGGCCA
Molecule: non-coding RNA, 72 nt
Organism: Phrynosoma platyrhinos (Desert horned lizard)
Lineage: Eukaryota; Metazoa; Chordata; Lepidosauria; Squamata; Phrynosomatidae
Source: the annotation of a GenBank genome assembly